CCUUUUGCAUCAUGAUUUAGCUAGAAAAAAUAAUGCAAAGCGACCUUAAGUGUUAUUCCCCGAAACUGGACGAGCUACCCCGAGACUGCCUGCCUUAGGGCUAACCCGUCUCUGUGGCAAAAGAGUGGGAAGAUCUCCGGGUAGAGGCGACAGACCUACCGAGCCCAGUUAUAGCUGGUUGCCUAGGAAAAGAAUAGAAGUUCAGCCCUUCCCCAUUUUUACUCAAAUUCUAAUACCCAUCAGACAUGAAGGUCCUGGGAAGGAGUUAGUUAAAGGAGGUACAGCUCCUUUAAACCAAGAUACAACUUUCUUAGCAGGCUAAAGACUAGAGGAAAUCAAGGUAUAUUAUUUUAGUGGGCCUAAAAGCAGCCACC
Molecule: ribosomal RNA, 374 nt
Filed under: Synodus foetens (inshore lizardfish)
Lineage: Eukaryota; Metazoa; Chordata; Actinopteri; Aulopiformes; Synodontidae
Description: partial large subunit ribosomal RNA
Rfam family: Bacterial large subunit ribosomal RNA
Source: RNAcentral